Molecule: ribosomal RNA, 253 nt
Filed under: uncultured bacterium
Lineage: Bacteria
Description: partial 16S ribosomal RNA
Rfam family: Bacterial small subunit ribosomal RNA
Source: RNAcentral
UACGUAUGGAGCAAGCGUUAUCCGGAUUUACUGGGUGUAAAGGGAGCGCAGGCGGUCUGGCAAGUCUGAUGUGAAAGGCCGGGGCUCAACCCCGGGACUGCAUUGGAAACUGUCAGACUGGAGUGUCGGAGAGGUAAGCGGAAUUCCUAGUGUAGCGGUGAAAUGCGUAGAUAUUAGGAGGAACACCAGUGGCGAAGGCGGCUUACUGGACGAUGACUGAAGCUGAGGCUCGAAAGCGUGGGGAGCAAACAGG